ACUUAUGUGCCUGCGUUAGAUUAAGCAAGGAAUUAAGCCAUGAGCAAUGAAGAAACCAGCAAAAGCGACGUCGUCGUGCUUUGGAGGAAUCCCCACGUCUUUGAUUUUCUCGUAGUGAUGGCAGCCAGAAUUUUUCUCUUGGUCGGGGGAUUCAAAAUCCAGUCUUUAGCAGCCAUUCAAAAUAUUGGUGGCUUCAAUAUCAGCUUUGGGAUUCUCUUUAAUUUUUAAUUUUCUUUUUCUUCUUUUAUCCUCUUCAGAUGGGUUUUUUUUUUUCAGAUAAUUCUCUUACUUAAUCCCGAUUCCUGAUAAGGGUGAGUCCGUAGUUUUCAUAUUUUUAAUGGAUAUUGUAUGAACUUCUCAAUUUCAUCUCGUUAAAAAAAUAUAUAUAGAGAGAGAGGGAAGAAAUGAAACUGUGCGAUUGCUGAAUUGUCUGUUUGGAGGGUGAUUUCGUGAUUUGAUGGGUUUUUUUUAGCGUGUUACGUUGGAAAAUAUCUCAUGAUCAUUAGCUGGGUAUAUGUGUAGGACUGGCUGCGAUUCUCCGCUUUAGUUUUCUGUUUGGUUGAUCAGAAAGUAGAAGUUAUGUGUUUGCUCGAUUGCCUCUUUGAAGGGUGAUUUCAUAAUUAGAUAUGUUUUAACGUGUUAUGCUGGUUAAUAUGUCAUGAUCUUGGACUGGCUACCUAUGUGGGACUGGCUGCAAUUCUCUGGUUUGGAUUUCUGUUUGAUUUCCUGCAAAAUGAAAGUUCUGGGUUUUGCCGAAUUGCCUCUUUGAAGGGCGACUUUAUGUGUUUAGUGUGCUAUGGUAGAUUUAUCUCAUGAUCAUGAACUUGGUAUCUUUGUAGGACUAGCUGCAAUACCAUGAUCUGAUUUCAUGUUUGGUUGCUCAGAAAAUUAUUGAUUUCUUUUCUUUUCUUUUCUUUUUUGUGNNNN
RNAcentral lists this long non-coding RNA (927 nucleotides) under Carica papaya (papaya). RNAcentral describes it as "long non-coding RNA (CPAP_LNC001919)". Lineage: Eukaryota; Viridiplantae; Streptophyta; Magnoliopsida; Brassicales; Caricaceae. The record is from RNAcentral.